RNAcentral lists this small RNA (26 nucleotides) under Arabidopsis thaliana (thale cress). Its description in RNAcentral is "ATSL235090". The record is from RNAcentral. Lineage: Eukaryota; Viridiplantae; Streptophyta; Magnoliopsida; Brassicales; Brassicaceae.
AAAACAAAUGAAAAAAGUUUAGAAAA